This 357-nucleotide long non-coding RNA is filed under the name Androctonus crassicauda. The record is from RNAcentral. Lineage: Eukaryota; Metazoa; Arthropoda; Arachnida; Scorpiones; Buthidae.
UUCUUAUAAUGUACAAACAGUAUUAUUAUCUAUUCUCACUAGAAUGUACUGAUGUCCAAUCAUCAUCAUCAUUUCUAUUUCAUUCACUGCUGGAUAUCUAUGUCUCCUCUUUUUGUUUUCAUAUGCACCCAUCUUGUACAAUCAGCAUCUACUGGAAACCAAUUACUUUUCUUCUGUCAUCUCUCUAUUGUUGUAUUGCCUGUCAGAAUGUCUUUUCCCUUGCCUUGGUUAUCAUUCUGUAAUUUUCUUUGUCCAAUAGUUAUUAAUAUUAUGAGAUAUAUCAAUAACUAUUAGACAAAAAGCUUCUAUCAGUGCCACUUACUGCUUCUAACUGCUACCAGUAUGUCUUCUACUUUG